Molecule: transfer RNA, 104 nt
Filed under: Dunaliella salina
Lineage: Eukaryota; Viridiplantae; Chlorophyta; Chlorophyceae; Chlamydomonadales; Dunaliellaceae
Description: tRNA-Lys
Rfam family: tRNA
About the family: Transfer RNA (tRNA) molecules are approximately 80 nucleotides in length. Their secondary structure includes four short double-helical elements and three loops (D, anti-codon, and T loops).
Source: RNAcentral
GCCCGCCUAGCUCAGUUGGCAGAGCGCAAGGCUCUUAAAUCGCAAGCAACCAAACAACGGUUGGUGGUACCUUGUGGUCCGGGGUUCGAGCCCCCGGGUGGGCG